This 465-nucleotide ribosomal RNA is filed under the name uncultured bacterium. RNAcentral's name for it is "partial 16S ribosomal RNA". It matches the Rfam family "Bacterial small subunit ribosomal RNA", at positions 338 to 795 of the family's 1533-position model. The record is from RNAcentral.
CCUACGGGCGGCUGCAGUGGGGAAUUUUGGACAAUGGGCGCAAGCCUGAUCCAGCUAUUCCGCGUGUGGGAUGAAGGCCCUCGGGUUGUAAACCACUUUUGUAGAGAACGAAAAGACACCUUCGAAUAAAGGGUGUUGCUGACGGUACUCUAAGAAUAAGCACCGGCUAACUACGUGCCAGCAGCCGCGGUAAUACGUAGGGUGCGAGCGUUAAUCGGAAUUACUGGGCGUAAAGGGUGCGCGGGCGGUUGAGUAAGUACGAUGUGAAAUCCCCGAGCUUAACCCGGGAAUGGCAGUGGGUACUGCUCGACUAGAGUGUGUCAGAGGGAGGUGGAAUUCCACGUGUAGCAGUGAAAUGCGUAGAUAUGUGGAAGAACACCGAUGGCGAAGGCAGCCUCCUGGGACAUAACUGACGCUCAGGCACGAAAGCGUGGGGAGCAAACAGGAUUAGAUACCCCAGUAGUC